GGCUCAGGAUGAACGCUGGCGGCGUGCUUAACACAUGCAAGUCGAACGAAGCAUUUAAGACAGAUUACUUCGGUUUGAAGUCUUUUAUGACUGAGUGGCGGACGGGUGAGUAACGCGUGGGUAACCUGCCUCAUACAGGGGGAUAGCAGCUGGAAACGGCUGGUAAUACCGCAUAAGCGCACGGUAUCGCAUGAUACAGUGUGAAAAACUCCGGUGGUAUAAGAUGGACCCGCGUCUGAUUAGCUGGUUGGUGAGGUAACGGCCCACCAAGGCGACGAUCAGUAGCCGACCUGAGAGGGUGACCGGCCACAUUGGGACUGAGACACGGCCCAAACUCCUACGGGAGGCAGCAGUGGGGAAUAUUGCACAAUGGGGGAAACCCUGAUGCAGCGACGCCGCGUGAGCGAAGAAGUAUUUCGGUAUGUAAAGCUCUAUCAGCAGGGAAGAAAAAAAUGACGGUACCUGACUAAGAAGCCCCGGCUAACUACGUG
This 491-nucleotide ribosomal RNA is filed under the name uncultured bacterium. Its description in RNAcentral is "bacterial SSU rRNA". It matches the Rfam family "Bacterial small subunit ribosomal RNA", at positions 21 to 507 of the family's 1533-position model. The record is from RNAcentral.